Molecule: long non-coding RNA, 1453 nt
Organism: Capsicum annuum
Lineage: Eukaryota; Viridiplantae; Streptophyta; Magnoliopsida; Solanales; Solanaceae
Exons: 3
Source: RefSeq, a predicted model, not a curated record
UUGUACGAAUCAUUGCCAUAGAAUCGUCUAUGAUAAUGCUUUAUUGAAUAAAAAAAGCUAUUGGAAUGUUAUAUCUAUUCCCACCAAAAAUUUUACUAAGUCUACCAAAAAAAAACCUUUUAUACUCCAAUCCGUCAAAAAAAUCCUUUCAUCAUUUUUCAUCUAGCGUACUCCAAUCCUCCAAAAAAAUUUAACAAUAUGCCACUACUCCGACCACCAUACAUCGAUAAAUAUACCGCUGCUCCAACCACCAUAUCCCAACUAUCAUACUAUUGUGCCUACCACCAUUCUCUUCUCAUUUUACCACUACUCCGACCACCAUACCUUAAUUUCAAUGCUGCUCCGGCCACCAAUAUGAGUAGGAAUAUGUAUUUGAAUCCUAAGUUGGGUGGGGUUAGGAUUGGAGGUGGGUUGGCAUCAUAUUUUAUUUUUCAUGCCAGAUAUUUUUAUCUUUCCCACUUUAACACUAAUCUUACAAGGUCAUCUUCUCCACGGCACACAUUCUUUUUCUCCUCUUUCAAAUUCUCAAUUUUGCUCUAAUUUUCUCUAAUUUAUAAUUUGCAUUUAUAUAUGGUUUAAUUCAAUCACUAAUGACAACUUGGUGUCUCUGUACCUAUCCAUUUUGGUACAUUUUUUAUUUUCACAUCAUUUUUUGUGUAUUUUUGGCUCUAGGUUUGAAACAAACAACAACAAUAUGGAUCGAGAAAGAGGAUCCUUUAGAUCUUGUUACUAUUUAGUGCUUGGAAUUUGGAAAGAUGCCUCCUGCUCCGACAUUUGCUUCGCUUAUCAAAAAUUAGCUCUGCAAAGCUGGUCUUUUACCUUUGGUGGAAUAUAAUGAUAAAACUAUAUUUGAGGUGAGGCUCAAAGAAAUGAAAUCUACAUUAACAACUCAAUUAGGAGAAGAAGUUAUUUUAUCUGAAGUCAUAGAAACUGUGAAGCAUCAUGUCAAGGAUGGCAAGUUACAAGAUAUAAAGGUUGUGUGAAUUUUGUGGGAUGUCUUGAUGGAUGCUAUUCAAUGGUCAGGAAAGAACCAACAGCAAAAUGCUAAUUUCGCUCUUUGCCAGGUUUCUGGAUAGAGCAACUUGGACAGCAGCAGUGGCGUGUCUUUUCUUGUGCUAAAACAGCUUUGAACCCUUGAUGUAGUGGUUGUAUUUUUCUUCUCUUAUAGCAACAAAGAAACAAGAGAAGGUACUUCUGCAAGGAUUCUUUGUGUUCUUAACCUUCCUUUACCUCUUAGAAUUACCAGUAACAACAACCACUUUUCAACUAUUUCUGCUACUUCGAGUAUUACUUCUAGUUUCUCUGUCUUCUAAGCUGAUAUUUACUUAUUGCAGAUGGUUGUUUCUUUAUAGUUAGCAAUUUACUGAAACUAAAAACUUCAUGCUACUAAAAAUAUUAGUAUGUUUUGUUAGCAUGUUUUGUCCAAAAUGAAAUGAGAAACAUUGUUCAUUGA